RNAcentral lists this ribosomal RNA (465 nucleotides) under Vreelandella stevensii. RNAcentral's name for it is "partial 16S ribosomal RNA". It matches the Rfam family "Bacterial small subunit ribosomal RNA", at positions 338 to 795 of the family's 1533-position model. The record is from RNAcentral. Lineage: Bacteria; Pseudomonadati; Pseudomonadota; Gammaproteobacteria; Oceanospirillales; Halomonadaceae.
CCUACGGGAGGCUGCAGUGGGGAAUAUUGGACAAUGGGGGGAACCCUGAUCCAGCCAUGCCGCGUGUGUGAAGAAGGCCCUCGGGUUGUAAAGCACUUUCAGUGAGGAAGAAUGCCUGGUGGUUAAUACCCAUCAGGAAAGACAUCACUCACAGAAGAAGCACCGGCUAACUCCGUGCCAGCAGCCGCGGUAAUACGGAGGGUGCGAGCGUUAAUCGGAAUUACUGGGCGUAAAGCGCGCGUAGGUGGCUUGAUAAGCCGGUUGUGAAAGCCCCGGGCUCAACCUGGGAACGGCAUCCGGAACUGUCAAGCUAGAGUGCAGGAGAGGAAGGUAGAAUUCCCGGUGUAGCGGUGAAAUGCGUAGAGAUCGGGAGGAAUACCAGUGGCGAAGGCGGCCUUCUGGACUGACACUGACACUGAGGUGCGAAAGCGUGGGUAGCAAACAGGAUUAGAUACCCUGGUAGUC